This 387-nucleotide ribosomal RNA is filed under the name Leiopelma hamiltoni. RNAcentral describes it as "partial 16S ribosomal RNA". The record is from RNAcentral. Lineage: Eukaryota; Metazoa; Chordata; Amphibia; Anura; Leiopelmatidae.
CACAGCUUNNGCACCCCUAACCCCCAAUAAUACGAAUAACCAAUCAAAACCCAUCAACACUACUGGGCCUAUCUAUAAACUCAUGGAUACGCUUAUGCUGGAAUGAGUAACAAGAAUUAAACCAUCUCCCAAUGUAAGUGCAACCCAGACCGAAUCAAUCACUGGCAAUUAACGGCCUCAAUGAGACAAAUGUAGCAACUCCACAAGAAAACCCUACAACCACCACCGUUAACCUAACACAAGAACAUACUAGGAAAGAUUAAAAAACAAGGAAGGAACUCGGCAAAUAUGAACCUCGCCUGUUUNCCAAAAACACCGCCUCUUGCAAACAAACAUAUAUAAGAGGUAUAGCCUGCCCAGUGACAAUUGUUCAACGGCCGCGGUAUU